UGGGGAAUAUUGCACAAUGGGCGCAAGCCUGAUGCAGCCAUGCCGCGUGUAUGAAGAAGGCCUUCGGGUUGUAAAGUACUUUCAGCGAGGAGGAAGGCGUUGUGGUUAAUAACCGCAACGAUUGACGUUACUCGCAGAAGAAGCACCGGCUAACUCCGUGCCAGCAGCCGCGGUAAUACGGAGGGAGCAAGCGGUAAUCGGAAUUACUGGGCGUAAAGCGCACGCAGGCGGUCUGUCAAGUCGGAUGUGAAAUCCCCGGGCUCAACCUGGGAACUGCAUCCGAAACUGGCAGGCUAGAGUCUUGUAGAGGGGGGUAGAAUUCCAGGUGUAGCGGUGAAAUGCGUAGAGAUCUGGAGGAAUACCGGUGGCGAAGGCGGCCCCCUGGACAAAGACUGACGCUCAGGUGCGAAAGCGUGGGGAGCAAACA
This 427-nucleotide ribosomal RNA is filed under the name uncultured bacterium. RNAcentral's name for it is "partial 16S ribosomal RNA". It matches the Rfam family "Bacterial small subunit ribosomal RNA", at positions 355 to 774 of the family's 1533-position model. The record is from RNAcentral.